UACGAAGGGGGCUAGCGUUGCUCGGAAUCACUGGGCGUAAAGCGCACGUAGGCGGAUCUUUAAGUCAGGGGUGAAAUCCUGGAGCUCAACUCCAGAACUGCCUCUGAUACUGGGGAUCUUGAGUCCGGGAGAGGUGAGUGGAACUGCGAGUGUAGAGGUGAAAUUCGUAGAUAUUCGCAAGAACACCAGUGGCGAAGGCGGCUCACUGGCCCGGUACUGACGCUGAGGUGCGAAAGCGUGGGGAGCAAACAGG
RNAcentral lists this ribosomal RNA (253 nucleotides) under uncultured bacterium. RNAcentral describes it as "partial 16S ribosomal RNA". It matches the Rfam family "Bacterial small subunit ribosomal RNA", at positions 524 to 776 of the family's 1533-position model. The record is from RNAcentral.